UGAAUAAAAAAAUUUAAAGAAAAAAAUAAUCACGCAGUUAAGAAUAAAACAGGAUAAAGAUAGGAUGGAAGAAUGCAUGUGUUUUUAAAUAGUGACAUCAUAGUGGUUCAAUAAAUGUUAGUGUUAUUACUGCUCAUACUCUAGUUAUCUGAUAUUGUAACAGCCUAGAAGAGAAAAGACAUACACAUUUCUCAUGUCCUUAGUACUAGAACCACUUUCUUGAGUAUUAUAAUAGAUGUGAUGAGUUAAGGAAUAAAAGAGAUACCAACUAUGUUGAAACUAGCCAGUCUACACAUAUUCAAUGACUACUUUAUGAUAAAAAGUUAUCCUAUGUAUUGUUAUGGUCUUCCAUUUUUGUCAUUUCCAGCAAGUCACACUCUUUAAUUUCCUGUUUUAUGUCCUGCAAUCCAACAACUACCAUUUAAAGGUUAUAAAAGUAUUUAAAGUAUUAAAAAGUUGUAAAAAUGUUUAAAACAUGAAAGAAAAAAAAAGGCAAAAAACAAAUUAUAAAGCCACAAGAGAAAUUGUAUCUUGACAAAUGAAAAAACUUUGUUAACAAAAAGUAUGGCUCAGCACAAAUGAAGUUAGGAAAAUAAAGAAUACUGAAUGUGAAAAUCUAUAUAGAUGGACAAAAACCCAGGCAUGCUCUUGUGCGUGUGUGGUCAUGUUGGUAAGAAUUAAAGAGUGAGACUUAGAGUUACUCCUGUUAACUUAUGAGACUAGGAGGCAUAGUCUCCCAGAAAAGUUCCUCUUCCUCUUGCUCCCAGAAUCCCUCAACACACACCUUUUCACAAUGUUCCCUUAGCCUUUGGUUGCAGGGGUGUUUUGUACACAUAUCCAAUGUGCUGGGCUUCACAACUCUUCAUUUUGAUUGAUUGUGGUUUUAUGCAAUUGUCUCUGUUGUAAAGAGAAGUCUGCCUGAUGAGGGGUAAGGGGUACACUUAUCUGUGGGUAUAAGAGCAAAUGAACAAGCAAGACACCAACCAACAUGCCAAACUGGACAGAGAGAAGCUCUUGAGGCCUUCAGGCCUACACAAAGAACUAGGGCAACAAAGUGAAAUUGGGAGCUGGAGAAGUGGUCCUCCACAAGGGAGAGCACACUGAUUGGUUGACCAGUGAUAAAUGUGCACAUGAUGAUGUACACAUGCAAUAACAAUUAUUGAAAAAAGAGGCCAUGAAUUUGAAGGACAGUGGGGAGGGACAUAUGGGAGGCUUUAGAGGGAGGAAAGGGAAGGGAGAAAUGUUGUAAAUAAAUUACAAUCUCAAAAAAAAAGAAAGAAAAACAAAACAAAACAAAAUCACCAACCUCAUGCAUGGCUGUAACUUCUCAAGAGUGUACCAGUUGACAAACCACAAUCCAUUGCAUACUUUUAAAGAAUAUUUAUUUCACAGCACUGCUGUUCAUGGCUGAAUCCCACUGUCUACAAACAGGAAGACAGAUGCACAGGAAAUUGUAUUUGCUAUGGAACUGUUUACAUCGAUCAUCACUUUCUUUUCAUGUUACUAGGCAGUCUGGUUAGAUUUUACAAUUAUUAAACUGUAGCUUUUAGUUUUCCAAAACAAUCAUUUUUUUUUCUCCUUGAUCUUCCUACAUCCUGACACACCCACAAAGACAAACAUUUUCAAAACCAUACUCACCUCUACUAGAUGCAUGGGAAAUGUUCUGAUAUCUACCUUAGCUAGUCAACUGACAUGCAAAGGGCUUAGUAUACUUUCAUUAAGUAUUUAGAAAUUUUGUAUUUGUCGUAUUUAGAAAAAUAUGUUUUCGUUAUAUGGCUUGUAAUUAUUCUACUUGUUGCUAUAAAGUACCUGUCUAGAAACAAUGUUACAGUCAACUAUGAUCUGGCCAUGUAAAAGGCUGAAGAAAUGUGGAAUUCUUGUGUUUUUGUGCUUUCUUCACCUCUUAAACAGUAAAACACUUCUUUCUUGUUAUUGUGAUUUUUUCAAUGUUAACAUUAAUUUUAAAAUGUGGCUCCCUCUAACAUAUCACUGCAAAAUAUGAUGUAAAAUGGAGAGCAAAAGGAAGAAUAGAAAAGGCAGGAAGCAAAGAUGGGACCUGGCUCAUUCAAUCUUGGAUAUUUGUUCUAUCUUGAAAAGUAUCGGCCAUUUCUUGCAGAUAUUCCUGAAUCUAUCAUUUUUCUUGCCAAAUAAAUGUUUAAUUAUUAGCAUAGAUCUGCCUUAAAUUUCUUUUGUACUUUCAGACUGCUCCUUUGAUUACCUGUCUCCCGGCUUCCUUUUCUGAUACUGUAUUUUAAAGAUCUGACUGCCUUGUUUAAAAGAGAAGCAAAGAGGGUUAUUUAGAUUAGGGCUUUCACUGUGGGUUUAUUUUGGUGUGGUUUGGUACCAGAUUUAAUGUGAAAAUGGUAUUUUGGGGUGUUUGAUUUGCAGAAAUAACUAGCUUAAAUGCUUCAGUUUCCAAUGGUAAUUAGAUUUCAACCCAGACAGUCUGGAUAACUCUGGAUUUACUACCUUGUAAAGAACUAUCAUAACAAGCCCUUGAGCAUUAUUUGAAAAUUAAUAAACUAAAGUAGGAGGAAGCACUUCACUUUCCCAUAGCAACAUAGACUGAGUUAUACUGUUUUAUUGCAAAAUUUACUUUUCAAUUAUAGGUUUACUAAAUUAAGUGGCUUGAAUAGCAUAAAAACAAUUAUUAGUUUCUUCACACUGCAGAUGACUAAUGCAAUGAGUCCAUUUUACUGUAAAAAAAAGAAAAAGGAAAGAAACCUCUUUUCUUUAAUAAAUAAAUAAAUCCUCCCCUUUAUUGCCUGAAAAUAAAUUCUAAGUCACAAAUAAUUCUUGCUUCUACUGUAUUAAUAGAAAGCCUUCUGUAUUUAAGUGGGGUUUCUAAAUUAGGUAAAAAAUAACUCACCCUAAAACCUUAUUUGCUAAAGUCUUUUCAAGUUUACAUUUUUAUUUUCUGAAAAAUGAAAUUUCAAGUAGAGCAGCUUAAUUGCUAACUUUUGCAAAUGUGCAAAAGAUUUGGCAAUCUGGAUUGGAGCUAAAUAACAAUUGCCACUGAUAAUUAUAUUAAAUUUAAAAGCUAAAAUUGUGCAUAAAUUGGGUUAAUUGCUCAGAAGAGAGUGAGGAAGACAAAACUACUUAACCUAAUUCUCGCCAUCACAGGGUGAGGUUGGAGAGCUGAUGUUAGUAUAUCCUGAUGGAGAAGAGUGCUAUAGUAAUCCUCUAACUACAAAGCCCAGGCAGGGGCUGUGUUAUAUAGCAUGUAAAUUUAAUGGCUGACUUCAUAUGAAUGACAGUGUGUGAGCACGUGUGUGCUUGUGAGUGUGUGAGAGUGUGUCUAUGAGUGUGAAUGUGUGUUGUGGAAUAGAAUUUGUUUAACCAUGUAAAGAUAUAUUGCAUUUGUUUGUGUUGCAGAAGAAUUAACUAUGUAAAGACGUUUGCUGUUUUACCUUGCUUGUCUAAGGCAUCUGAUUGGUCUAAUGAAAAGCUGAACAGCCAUUAGCUAGGCACAGGAGGGAUGAGCAGUCCUGGAAGACAGAGAGAAAAGGGGAGCCAGACAGACAGACUGGGAGGAAGUAUGAAAGUGGGCUGGACAGUACACAGAUGUGGUAAAUGAGUCUCCUCAGGGCAGCAUUAAUAGAAAUGGGAUAAUUUAAGAAACAAGCCCAAGCUAAGGCAGAGCAUUCAUAAUUAAUAAUAAGUCUCUGUGUCAUGAUUUAGAGGCUAGCAGUCCAAGUAAGCCUGCUUCAAGUAUGCGUGUAAGUGUGUAUGUUUGUGUGUGUCAUGUGUGUGUCAAUGUAUGUGUUUGUGUGUAUAUGUGCAUGUGUGUGUGUGUGUGUGUGUGAGUGUUUGUGUUUUAGAACCUGGAGAAGGAGCAAGAGUCAUAUUCUGAAGAGAUUCCAAAAGAAUAAUCAACAACAACACCACCACAAAAGAUCAAUAUUUCCUCCUAUAUCUGUCCUCCCAGCUGAACUAAAUCUCAACACAUUUAUUCUUUUAUACUUUACAGCAUGAUGAAAAUGAAAGGGCUUUGCCCAAAUACCCAUGCUUUAAAUUUUAGUUCCAAAAGUUCCAAGGAAUGUCAUACUUGUCAAGUCCAUUCUCUGAUUUUUACCUUAGUUUUCUCCUUUACUAAAUGAAUGUGAUCUUCAAGAAUUGCUGCAAGAAUUAUAUGAGUUCUUAGACAUCUAAAUGGUACCUAAAUACCCUGGUCAGGAUAGCAGAGCCUAUGCCCAAGUCACUGAUUUUUGGAGAAAAAUCCUCAUGCUUUAAACUGUUUUUAUAUUACUUAAGGCAUGUUUCAUAUGUUUAAGUCUCUAAGUCCUCAAGUAAUCAAUUUAGUGGUAGUAAAUCAAAAAUGGGAAAAAGAGAGUUGAGAAAACAAGCAAAAGGAACAGAAAGUUUUACCUAUUAAAUAGGAAGUCUCUAAGCUGUUCAGUUUAGCGAUUUUAGUUCUGAAGGCACUGAAAGUGAACAAAGGCAAUGCCUAAGUACGUGUUCCUAUUUCAACAGGAAAAGACGCUGACGAAUGGAAAGCAAUCAAUAAAUCAAGUCAAAAUACAUGGCUAUGAAUCAUCAAUAUACGAGUACAACUCUCAGUGAAGAAUACACAGCUAAAGAUUUCCUGCUGUGGAUAUCACUGUGUAUAAAUAAAAUGCUGAUUGGCCAGUAGCCAGACAGGAAGUAUAGGCGGGACAAGCAGAGAAGAGAAUUCUGGGAAGUGGAGGCUGAAGCAGGGAGACACUGUCAGGCACCAUGAGGAGAAGCAACAUGUUAAGAUACCGUCCCUUCCCCCAUCCUCCCCUCUCCACACCCCACCCUUCCACUCCUUCUCCUUUCUCUUGAGAAAAGUGCCAGCCUAUCAUGGAUAUCAGCCACCCACGGCAUGCCGAGUUCCAGGGAGACUAGGCACCUCCUCUCCUGUUAAGGCUGGACAACGCAACCCAGUAGGAGGAAAGGGUUCAAAACGCAGGAUUCCCCUAUGUCACCUAAUGUUUGGCUGUGGUCUCCGCAUCAAGUCCUGGGUGAAGUCUCUCUGAUAACUGUUGGACUAGGCAAUGAUCUGUGAAUAUAGCAGAGCAUCAUUAGGAAUCAUUUCACUGACAUUUUUCUCUUUUUGCCAGUCAUGUUUAGCUCUACCCUAGGUCUCUGGGUUAUCCAGCCUCCGGGUCCUGGCCCUUCAAGCUGUGUCAGGGUUGGGCUCCGUCUCAUAGUGUGCAUCUCAAGCCGGACCAGUCAUUAGGUAGCCAUGCCCAUGACUUCAGUGCCCCCUUUGUUCCAUCAAUUGUAGGUCAGAGGUUAUGUGGCUAGGUUGGGGGUCUCAAUCCAUCCACUGGAAGUCUUGCCUGGUUACAGAAGAUGGCUGUUUCAGGCUCCAUGUUUCCCAUUGCUAGGAGUCUUAGCUAGGGUCACCAUCACAGAUUCCUGAGAGUUUCCAUUGCACUGGGUUUCUAACUCAUCCCAGAGGUGCCCCUGAUUCCAAUUAGAAAGAUGACCACUCUUGAUAGCAAUUGCUUAUUUUACUAAAGUAUAUAAAACUACAGUCUUCCAUGCUAGGGGAUCUCCUUACUUGAAAGUCAGCAGAAAGGAUAUUUCAUAUUUAAGGCUGAAAUCAACUCCAAGCAGCAGCAACCUUAACACAGCUUCAGACUUGUACAAAAGUAAUCAACUCCUCCAGUGUCUGUACGGGUAAGAGUUGAUAAGCCAGAGUAUCCAUAUCACAGGCCUUUCCUCCAUCAUCAAAAAAAAAAAUCAAACUUUCUUUCAAACUUCCUUUGAAAAAGUGUUCUCUUAACUAAACAGCAAUUGUAAUUCAUAUUAAGCAGUGUUAUAAAAGGAUUUUAGACAACCAGGCAGCCUUGAUUUUUUUUUUUUUGUCUACCAACAUGAAAUGACUCAAUGUAUAAAAUCCAUGUUUGCAAAUACUUUUAUAUUUAAUUUAAUUGUUAGCACUAUGCUUAGUGAUAUAAGGUCCUUCUAAUGUAUUGUGAAAUUCAUGGUUGCCUUGUACUUGGCUCAGAACCUCCCCAACGUAACCAAAAAAGCAAAACAAUGCUAAAGUUUCUUGUUAAAAGAACUAGUUACUAAAUCUUCCCGUUGCAGUGCCAUACAUAGACAUAAGAUUCGCACAGCUUAGAUGUCCAAGUUGGAUCAGCCAGAUGUUGCACUAGAGGACAGAGACCACAAAAUAUAAUAAAUUAACAUCUACUUAAACCAGUCUUGAGAAUUAAGGAGAAUAGCUGGAAGAUGCUAUAUUUGAGAAAUGUCAUCACCCAGAAACCAGACUCUAAAAUUUAUGAAGAGAUGAUCCACAAGAUAAAUGUUGAACAGUUGUGAUCAGAAUGGACAUUCUAGAAAGUCUGUCCUCCAUGGAUAUUCUCUUAGUAUGACGUUUUUGUUUGUUUGUCUGUUGUUUGUUUUUUAGUUUACUUCAAUACUUUAAUUCAGAUUAAACACCCGAAGACAAAGCUCAUCAGUUGGCUUAUACAACCUUCAGUAUGGCUUGACUAUGAAAACUGUAGGUAGCCUUUAUACCAUAGAGAAAAUAAUAGUUUCUUCUGGAAGGUAGAGAUCUGUCAGUCCACUUUAUUAUGAAGCAAGCUUGGAAAAGAAAAUGAUGUGUAAGCUAAUGAAAGCACAAAUAAUUGCACUGGACAUUUUUAUGCUGCCACCAGACCUUUGGUAGGCUAUAUAAACUGAUCUUAAUUUUGUUAUACUGACCCCUUAAGGCACUUCCUAUUGUAAAAUACUCUAUUAAGAAUUGGUCUACAUUUGGAAAGCAAUAAUAUUAAGUUUGUUACAGCUUUUUGCAGUUCAGGCAUUAAUUUAGAUUGUGUAAUCCUCUUAUGAUUUUAAUGGGUAAAAGCUAUUUUAAGAAUUUUUGCAAGCAAAGUAUAUAGGUAUACUUAGAAAAGAAUUUCUCUUUGAGGCCCUUUAAAUAAAGAUAUUUAUGUUAAAUUGAUUCAUGUUAAAAAUGUAACACACCCAGUCAGAAAGCCUUAACAAGACAGGUUCCUCUGUAAGGUAGUAUUAUUAUUCAACCUUGGCUCCAGAGUCUUGAUUUUAAAAGCCAAGUUUGGUCUAUCUCUUAUGAAUAUGUAACAAUAUUUUUAGGACUGUUAAAGAAUGUUAUAUUUUUAUGGGAAAAAUUAGCAAAAACAAUAAACAAAGUAUUUUUAAAAAUCUCAUUAUCCUCAUAAUAGAAUUUAUCCUGAAUUUAUAUUUUAAUAUGACAAUAUAUCCUGUCAAUAAAAAACAGGUUGAAAGCUAA
Peromyscus californicus insignis is the source of this 7231-nucleotide long non-coding RNA. RefSeq lists it as uncharacterized. The transcript is spliced from 4 exons. NCBI's taxonomy places the organism in Eukaryota, Metazoa, Chordata, Mammalia, Rodentia, Cricetidae. The record is from RefSeq and is a predicted model, not a curated record.